UGAAAGACUGCUCCUUCCUCCUCCAAAGGCAAGGAAAAGGUCACAGGAUCUUCUAGCAUAACCUGAACACGACUUGACGAAGGGGGUAUGAGAAGGUUUCUAACAAUUGAGCAUAAAGCCAGAUUUGACAACGUGGUCUCAAGAUGGAACGUUUGGCUAGAACGCGAAGUAACAUUGGAAGACUUUGGGAGGUUUGAAUUGACCCAGUUAAUUCAGUUGGCAAGUUGGGAGAAAGUUGCAGGCGAACCUCAUAAGGUUUACCCUACUUUGGUGCAGGAGUUCUACGCCAAUUUUAAUGCAGAUUUGGACACUCCAAGGACUGAGCACAUGCAUCAGACAUGGAUUCGAGACAAAUGGAUAAUGUUCUCUCUCGAAGUGGUUGAGGCCUACAACGAACUCACUCGAGAUAAUAUUGUGCCAGUGCCAAUGGAUGCAGACAUGCCAAUCAUCAUACAUAUACUAUAUGGGAGAGAAGAUGCAUGACAACUCUUAGGACAUGACUUUGAAUACUGACACUUGAAAGAUUCCAUUGUGAUUUUGUAUAAAUUCAUCACUCACAACAUUGAUCCAAGUUCACAUCGCACCACUAUUAGUCAACCCGAGGCCAUUCAACUUUAUCAUCUUGCACACUGGUUUAAGAUUGACUUAGGAUCUUUGAUUUAUGAUCUCGUAUGCUUUGUGGCGAUGGAUCUCGACCCG
This 699-nucleotide long non-coding RNA is filed under the name Olea europaea subsp. europaea. The record is from RNAcentral. Lineage: Eukaryota; Viridiplantae; Streptophyta; Magnoliopsida; Lamiales; Oleaceae.